RNAcentral lists this long non-coding RNA (1306 nucleotides) under Nicotiana benthamiana. RNAcentral's name for it is "long non-coding RNA (NBEN_LNC002699)". Lineage: Eukaryota; Viridiplantae; Streptophyta; Magnoliopsida; Solanales; Solanaceae. The record is from RNAcentral.
UGUUAAUAUCUUGUGGAUCUCCCUGAUUUUGUUGGUUUUCUUGGUUUCCUCGAGUGUUGGCAAUGUUGUUCGACAUAGUUGACCAACAAGAAAAGUUAAGCGAGAAAAAAAAGAUUAUCAGAUUUUUAGUAACGGAACUAAUUUGUUUAACCAAAAAAUGGGAUUUUAGUCAAAGCUAGAAUUUAGAAGAACACGGAUUACUGAUAAUCAAAAGAAUGUAUCAAAAGAAAUAAUUUAAGAAGGAAAAGAGUCUUUCAAGAGAAAAGCAAGUAAACCAAGAUAUAUUCCAAUGAUUUCGUGUCCUCAACUGAUAUGUCUCCCUUUUAUAGGUGUCCUGAAGAUAUACGUUUUGCCCGAAUCAUAAUGAGGCUAUUAUGAAUAAUUAAAGACAUUGAAUGCUAUGUUACAUAAUCAUUCUAUUCAAUACAAAUUCCCUAACAUAUUUCAUAUUUAAUGUCCAUUAAAUGUCGUAUCUGCACUCUUUUCUAUUGUCAGAUUCAUUCAUUUUGACCCUCAAAUAUAAAUGACUUCAAUAGGUACGGGUGCUGAGUUAUUUGAAUAACUACCCGUGCCUCUUCUCCUGUCAUUUCCUCGUACCUGUUGCAGCUCGUGCCUCUUGGCUAACUGUAAUUCUUUGACCAUUCAAUCAGUCUACGUGUCUUGACACAUUACCUUAAAUACAUUUUUUUCCCAAUACACUUAGUUCCUUGGCAGCCAACGCAUCCUCGAAGAAUUGAUCAAAUCUAGUAUGUCCCAUACACCCACAUCCAUGUUGUAUCAGUCAAGCAGGGGGUAUUGAAGGAUUCAUAUAAUUAUGAAAGAUAGCUCUAUAGUUGUUACUACCUAAGACAAGGUGCGCUCUUUCCAACAGCUUCCAUCUUUAAAUAUGAAGCAACAGAUAGUUGAAACUGAAAGUAAUUAAUUUAUACAUGAAAAACUUUUCGAAGUUGAAGAAAGAUGCUUACAAGAUUAGAAAGCAUCAACAUUAUACUAAUGGAUGGUUUCGUGGAGACGUGGUAAAAUUGCUCCUAAGACAUCUUAAUUUUCAGAUAAAUUGCAUCAAACUUUGAUCUUGAAAAGAAUAGCUGGAAAACAUAUCAAGUAAGAAACAUAAUCUCCUUUUCUUCUCCCCUAGGUGAUUAAGAAUUAGGUACAAGUCAUUACAUAAUUUUGCAAGGAACAACAACAACAACAACUACCCAGUAUAGUCUCACAAAGUAGGGUCUGGGGAGGGUAAUGUGUAGACGAGCCUUACCCCUAUCCGGAAGGGCAGAGAGGCUGUUUCCAAUCGACCCUCGGCUCAGUG